AGUGGAGUCGGUUCUUUCCUGCCAUCUUUAUGUGGGGUCCCGGGAUGAAACUCCGGUCCUUGCGUUUGUAUGGGAAGCUUUUUUUCCAAGCUGAACUAUUUCACCUGCCGCUGAACGCUUCUCUUCCCGGUGCCAGAGUAGCGCCAAAGUGCUGGGGAUGGAGCCCAGGGCCUUGUAUAUGCUAAGCAGGUGAACAGGGACAGGAUGACAGCUCCCUAUUGGUCCUGUGGGACCCUCCCCCCUGCCCACCCUCACCCCAGCACCCAGUAUAACAAACUGGCAGGAAUGAAGGUUUCCUAAGAAGACACCCCUCUGCUCUUCCCUUGGCUGCCAGAUACUGAACAGUGGUCCCUGAGGAACUGGAGUCCUCUGGGAGCCCCAUAUCGGCCGAAGCCUAGUGCCAGCCAGAGGACAGAGCUUACCUCUUCACAAGAUUCCACACUGCACCGUUCUGUCUGAAGACCUUGCAGGAGAGACUGGAGGGGCCACACUGAAUAAAUCUUUUUUCUAAUCU
This is a long non-coding RNA of Peromyscus eremicus (cactus mouse), 514 nucleotides long. RefSeq lists it as uncharacterized. The transcript is spliced from 3 exons. The record is from RefSeq and is a predicted model, not a curated record. Lineage: Eukaryota; Metazoa; Chordata; Mammalia; Rodentia; Cricetidae.